Molecule: ribosomal RNA, 376 nt
Filed under: uncultured Ureaplasma sp.
Lineage: Bacteria; Bacillati; Mycoplasmatota; Mycoplasmoidales; Mycoplasmoidaceae
Description: bacterial SSU rRNA
Rfam family: Bacterial small subunit ribosomal RNA
Source: RNAcentral
UACCGAAUAAUAACAUCAAUAUCGCAUGAGAAGAUGUAGAAAGUCGCGUUUGCGACGCUUUUGGGAUGGGGGGGUGCGACGUAUCAGAUAGUUGGUGAGGUAAUGGCUCACCAAGUCAAUGACGCGUAGCUGUACUGAGAGGUAGAACAGCCACAAUGGGACUGAGACACGGCCCAUACUCCUACGGGAGGCAGCAGUAGGGAAUUUUUUCACAAUGGGCGAAAGCCUUAUGAAGCAAUGCCGCGUGAACGAUGAAGGUCUUAUAGAUUGUAAAGUUCUUUUAUAUGGGAAGAAACGCUAAGAUAGGAAAUGAUUUUAGUCUGACUGUACCAUUUGAAUAAGUAUCGGCUAACUAUGUGCCAGCAGCCGCGGUAAU